ACUGGUCGAGUCGGCCUGCGCGGAAGAUGUAACGGGGCUAAACCAUGCACCGAAGCUGCGGCAGCGACGCUGAUGCGUUGUUGGGUAGGGGAGCGUUCUGUAAGCCUGUGAAGGUGGCCUGUGAGGGUUGCUGGAGGUAUCAGAAGUGCGAAUGCUGACAUAAGUAACGAUAAAGCGGGUGAAAAGCCCGCUCGCCGGAAGACCAAGGGUUCCUGUCCAACGUUAAUCGGGGCAGGGUGAGUCGACCCCUAAGGCGAGGCCGAAAGGCGUAGUCGAUGGGAAACGGGUUAAUAUUCCCGUACUUGGUGUUACUGCGAAGGGGGGACGGAGAAGGCUAUGUUGGCCGGGCGACGGUUGUCCCGGUUUAAGCGUGUAGGUGUGUGUUCCAGGUAAAUCCGGUUCACUUUAACACUGAGGCGUGAUGACGAGGCACUACGGUGCUGAAGCAACAAAUGCCCUGCUUCCAGGAAAAGCCUCUAAGCAUCAGGUAACAUCAAAUCGUACCCCAAACCGACACAGGUGGUCAGGUAGAGAAUACCAAGGCGCUUGAGAGAACUCGGGUGAAGGAACUAGGCAAAAUGGUGCCGUAACUUCGGGAGAAGGCACGCUGACACGUAGGUGAAGUGAUUUACUCAUGGAGCUGAAGUCAGUCGAAGAUACCAGCUGGCUGCAACUGUUUAUUAAAAACACAGCACUGUGCAAACACGAAAGUGGACGUAUACGGUGUGACGCCUGCCCGGUGCCGGAAGGUUAAUUGAUGGGGUCAGCGCAAGCGAAGCUCCUGAUCGAAGCCCCGGUAAACGGCGGCCGUAACUAUAACGGUCCUAAGGUAGCGAAAUUCCUUGUCGGGUAAGUUCCGACCUGCACGAAUGGCGUAAUGAUGGCCAGGCUGUCUCCACCCGAGACUCAGUGAAAUUGAACUCGCUGUGAAGAUGCAGUGUACCCGCGGCAAGACGGAAAGACCCCGUGAACCUUUACUAUAGCUUGACACUGAACAUUGAGCCUUGAUGUGUAGGAUAGGUGGGAGGCUUUGAAGUGUGGACGCCAGUCUGCAUGGAGCCGGCCUUGAAAUACCACCCUUUAAUGUUUGAUGUUCUAACGUGGACCCGUGAUCCGGGUUGCGGACAGUGUCUGGUGGGUAGUUUGACUGGGGCGGUCUCCUCCUAAAGAGUAACGGAGGAGCACGAAGGUUGGCUAAUCCUGGUCGGACAUCAGGAGGUUAGUGCAAUGGCAUAAGCCAGCUUGACUGCGAGCGUGACGGCGCGAGCAGGUGCGAAAGCAGGUCAUAGUGAUCCGGUGGUUCUGAAUGGAAGGGCCAUCGCUCAACGGAUAAAAGGUACUCCGGGGAUAACAGGCUGAUACCGCCCAAGAGUUCAUAUCGACGGCGGUGUUUGGCACCUCGAUGUCGGCUCAUCACAUCCUGGGGCUGAAGUAGGUCCCAAGGGUAUGGCUGUUCGCCAUUUAAAGUGGUACGCGAGCUGGGUUUAGAACGUCGUGAGACAGUUCGGUCCCUAUCUGCCGUGGGCGCUGGAGAACUGAGGGGGGCUGCUCCUAGUACGAGAGGACCGGAGUGGACGCAUCACUGGUGUUCGGGUUGUCAUGCCAAUGGCACUGCCCGGUAGCUAAAUGCGGAAGAGAUAAGUGCUGAAAGCAUCUAAGCACGAAACUUGCCCCGAGAUGAGUUCUCCCUGAGACUUAGAGUCUCCUGAAGGAACGUUGAAGACGACGACGUUGAUAGGCCGGGUGUGUAAGCGCAGCGAUGCGUUGAGCUAACCGGUACUAAUGAACCGUGAGGCUUAACCUUACA
RNAcentral lists this ribosomal RNA (1807 nucleotides) under Salmonella enterica. Its description in RNAcentral is "partial 23S ribosomal RNA". It matches the Rfam family "Bacterial large subunit ribosomal RNA", at positions 1144 to 2925 of the family's 2925-position model. The record is from RNAcentral. Lineage: Bacteria; Pseudomonadati; Pseudomonadota; Gammaproteobacteria; Enterobacterales; Enterobacteriaceae.